RNAcentral lists this ribosomal RNA (239 nucleotides) under uncultured bacterium. Its description in RNAcentral is "partial 16S ribosomal RNA". It matches the Rfam family "Bacterial small subunit ribosomal RNA", at positions 95 to 334 of the family's 1533-position model. The record is from RNAcentral.
CCGGCGCACGGGUGAGUAACACGUAUCCAACCUGCCGUCUACUCUUGGACAGCCUUCUGAAAGGAAGAUUAAUACAAGAUGGCAUCAUGAGUCCGCAUGUUCACAUGAUUAAAGGUAUUCCGGUAGACGAUGGGGAUGCGUUCCAUUAGAUAGUAGGCGGGGUAACGGCCCACCUAGUCUUCGAUGGUUAGGGGUUCUGAGAGGAAGGUCCCCCACAUUGGAACUGAGACACGGUCCAA